Molecule: ribosomal RNA, 253 nt
Filed under: uncultured bacterium
Lineage: Bacteria
Description: partial 16S ribosomal RNA
Rfam family: Bacterial small subunit ribosomal RNA
Source: RNAcentral
UACGUAGGGGGCAAGCGUUGUCCGGAAUCAUUGGGCGUAAAGCGCGUGUAGGCGGCUCGAUAAGUCUGCUGUGAAAGUCCAGGGCUCAACCCUGGGAUGCCGGUGGAUACUGUCGAGCUCGAGUCCGGAAGAGGCGAGUGGAAUUCCUGGUGUAGCGGUGGAAUGCGCAGAUAUCAGGAGGAACACCAAUAGCGAAGGCAGCUCGCUGGGACGGUACUGACGCUAAGGCGCGAAAGCGUGGGGAGCGAACAGG